Molecule: long non-coding RNA, 4200 nt
Organism: Felis catus (domestic cat)
Lineage: Eukaryota; Metazoa; Chordata; Mammalia; Carnivora; Felidae
Exons: 9
Source: RefSeq, a predicted model, not a curated record
UAAUGAUACAGCUAAUGUACUGGACACACUUGACUCUAAUGGUAGAGUCAGAAAGGAACUUUUUUUUUUUUAAUUUCAUUGUUCCUUUAUGUUUAUUCAGUUAAGUUGGUUCUUUCCUAGACCCUGAAAAUGUAUGCAAUUUAGUGAAUUUUCUGGGGAAUCUUAAGUGAUUCAGAGUCUAAAUCCAAAAAGCAAAAUGUCCAGUCCCAUGUAAGAGCCAUCAAUUUUCAUUAAAAGGCACAACUUGAUUUAAAGUUGAAGCUAAGGGGGGCACUUGUGAUGAGCACCAGGUGUUGUAUGUAAGUGAUGAAUCACUGAAUUCUACUCCUGAAACCAUUAUUGCACUUUUCAAUUUAAAAAAGAAAAGGAAAAAGGGAAAAAAGUUGAAGCUUCUCUUCCUCUUGAAAGCUUGUGUCCCCAGACAGGUGGGAUCUCAGUAGCUAUGUGAUGUGUUCUUGUUCUCAUGCCUGCCUAACUUUCAGUUGCUCCUCUCUUCUUGCUAACUUGUUUCUGAUCUUUCUCAUGUUGGUGGCAGGGGGAGGAAGGAGAGGGUGGAGAAGACAGGGGCAUUUUGCUUGCUUGGCACUGUGGAGGUGAUGGUGAUGUGCUCUGGUAUGGUAGGCAUUAAAGCUGAUUCUUGUUUGCAUGGGCACAUGUGUGAUGAUCCCCAUGUUACAAUUCCUGCAAUUCCUCUGACGUGAGCAAAUAUUUUUAUUUAGUCUAGUUGUUCAUUUCCUCUAUUGCUCCUAGGAAUGAAAGCCCUUGCUUCUUUCUGUGGAUGCUUGUUCUUUGUCCUGCAGGCACUCUUAGUAUAUACAAUUCCCCAUACAGUUCUCUCUCCUACAUGAGACUCACAUUUGGUCCAUGAGAAACACUCAUACAUCCUUUGCACUGAUAAAUUCCCAGAAAACAGUUCUGUCCUGCUUAGGCUACUUUAGUCAGCCUCUUGCCCCUAUGUUCUUAACAGUCAGAACAUUGCCUCCUUAAAGCUACUGCCUUUUGGACUUAGGUGAAGGGUUAACAAUUCUUUGACAUUCUUUUUCUUUCUUUCUUUCGUUUCCUUCCUUCCUUCCUUCCUUCCUUCCUUCCUUCCUUCCUUCCUUCCUUCCUUCCUCUCUCUCUCUCUCUCUCUCUCUCUCUCUCUCUCUCUCUCUCUCUCUGAAAUUCUUUCUUUAAAAAUUCCCCUCUGGGUUUCUGUAGUGCUGGCAAUGAUCUGUUUCUGGAUAUGUGGUGUUGGAUGUUGUAUGAUGCUUACUUAAUACACUGUGUAUUACAUUUACAUUUUUUAACUUUUCUGUGUGUUAGACCUCAGUAAUACUAGUUAAGAAAAACAAUAGUCCAAAUAAUCUCAUCCAGGUGCUGAAAAUAUACAGCAAGUCUCCUCCUUCAUAAUCUCCCAACUCCCAGUCUUUAUAACCUGUCAAUUCAGCAUCUUCUCUCUGGUUCUUAGAUUCUUUGAACAGUUUUGGACUUGUUCUAGUUCCUCAUUUUAGGAAAUGUUCCAAGUGAAACUUGUAUUUUCAUACCUGUAUGUUUAUUUUAACUAUGACUUCAUGAAUAUUGAUAUCAAAUACUGUUGUUAAGCCUUUUAACUAUAUCAAGAAAUCUUGCAGACUCAAAAAGGUUAAGAAUUGUUACCAUCAUUUUACAAAGAAGACACUAAGGCUAUAGGGGUCCAAAAACGUGCCCAAAGUUGCAAGACAAAUACAUGACUGUACCAAGAUUUGGACCAAAUGUUUUCUGAUUUCAAAGCCCAUGCUUUUUCCUCUGAGACUAUUUUCAAUCUCAGAAUAAGGAUUGUCAAAUGUAUGACUUGAAGAUGACGACAAAACAUGCAGUGAAGGAGUAACUGCUCACAUGUCAGGUUUCCAUGUUUCUCCCAUUUGCUGGAGUCAGAGAGCAGCUGUUUAUUCACUCGAGCUCUGAUGAACAAAGCCUGCUUGAAACCAGAAGAAAUUGUCUGGAGAGGAAUAAUUUUGUGAGCCUUAUUUCCUCUGUACAAGUCAACUGGUUGUUAUUUAAAUAUAUUUGGAAUGAGAAAGUUGAUGUGGAAUCCUGGAAUUUGUGGCCUGUUGUGUGAAUUUGGCAGGUGUGUAUGGCUUAUCAGGGAACUGAAAAAUUGGGCUAAAUAGACACAUUUCUGGAGUGUGAACUGCACAGCAGGUGAUCUCUGAAGCAGACAGCCAGCAGAGUGGCCUUUUUCCUCCAGAUCUCUCCCCUGUAUGGCUAGGAAAAAAAAGAGAGAAACCUAAACACUGAAUACAGCAAAUGGAUUUCUGAACCACGUGUCUCUUGCAGCAGAUGUGGAAAUUGAGGCCAGUGAGAUGAAAUAACUUAUCCAAGGCCACCCAGCAAAUGAAGAGUGGAAUGAGGAUGUGCACUUAGAAUCCCUGCUCUAAGUGUCAACACCCUUCCUCACCAUGUUGUGGUUUGCCGAUUGGAUAAGGAAGACUUCCAAGGCCCCUUCUGUGGCCUCUCCUGUCCACAGUCUGCACCUGUCCUCUCAUUUGUGGUGAAACAGAGAAGUGUGUCUAACACAAAGUGAACAGGAAAUAAGGAAGUGUUUUUAUGCACAGAGAAUGCAACUGCUGUCCAAAGUCAGUUAAUUAAAAAACAUCAAUCUAUGCAAACAUGAAGAAAUGGCCCAGCGGGAAAUUGGACCAAUUUGGAGUUUGUCCUAUUCGCCUCAUAGAAGAAAGCAGAGAGUUACCCAUAGUCACCAGGGAUGCACACUAAGUUUGAAGAGAUUUAUUCUGGAAAUUAAUAAUGAUCUCAUAUUGCAGAUGAGAGCUCUGAAGCUAGAGAGGUGUGUAAUGAUAGAAACCCCUUGAGGCAAAAAUCAAGUUUUCAGCUGCUUAUGGCGACUGCUUAUGGAUCAAUAAAUUCUGGCUCAAAAGAUCUGCUUGGACAUCAUGAUAACAUGGGGACAUUGCCAAGAAGUGCGAUUCAGCCAUCAAAACUUGGGUAUAAGGAGAAGAGAAUGCGCCAAGUGGGUAUUCCCAAGUGUUAGAUUGGAUUGGAUUCUAAUUUACUAGUGGUUCCAUUGUGUUUGUGAAAAGUACAGAUUCCUGAAUUAUUGUCUCAGAAAUUAUAUUUCAUAGGUCCGAGGUAAGGCUUUGGAAUCUGCAUUUUAGCAAGCUUCCUGGGUGGUUCUGAUGAAGUGGUUCUUAGCACUAUAAUUAGUUGCUUAUUAGCUAACACUAUUAGCUAUCAUGCAUAUUAUUUAUUAGACUAUUGGUUGGUUAUUAGCCAACACUAUUGCUCUGAGAAUUUUAAGGGACAUAGGCUGGCAGAUAGCCCAGAGCACUGACAGCACAAUUUGGAGCCAGUACUACUAAGGGAAUUCAAAUAAGUGAAAAAUACCUUGUAGGCAAGAAAAGUGUGGAAUGAAUUAGAAAGUUUUUAUUUUUUUUCCAAAGCUAUUCAAAGGGUGGAAUAAUGACCUGCUAAAGUGAAAAUUAGGUUGUGAAAGCCAAGGCAUGGAUUAUUUUAAGGGGAUGGUUAUUGGGGCGCCUGGGUGGCUCAGUCAGUUAAGUGUCCAACUUUGGCUCAGGUCAUGAUCUCACAGUUCUUGGGUUCAAGCCCCGUGUUGGGCUCUGUGCUGACAGCUCAGAGCCUGGAGUCUGCUGUGUCUCCCUCUCUCUCUGCCCUUCUCCCACUCACACUCUGUCUCUCAAAACUAAAUAAACAUUAAAGAAAUAAAUAAAGGGGAGACAGUCAUUUAGAUUUUGAGUGGAGAAUAUAAUGGAAGAAUGUGGAACUACAAAUGUUUUUUAGGGGAUGGGAUAUAAAAAUGUACAUUUAAGAAAAAGAUAGGAAAGGCCUUCAGCCUUAUUGUACAGGGGUGCUGGAAAAAUAUUAGCAUCAGUACUUGCCAUUUCCAAAAGUAAGGACAUUUUUUUGAAAAUAAAAUUUCUGUUACUUAUUUCUGUGGAACAUCACCACACACUAUACACACGUCUUAGGCCAUUGUUUGAAUUCCCGUGUGUGUUCUUUGUGACUUCAAGAUAAUCUCUCUUCUGGAUUAUUUACCUGAAGUGCCUUAGAAAGCCAAACAGGACAAGGAUGCUCUUGUCAGUGAACCAAGGAGUCUCAAUUGUUUGAUUGCUUAGAGUGAAAACGCUGGGGGGUGGGGGGCACGGAAUCUCGAAUUUAUUUAAAUUUGAAAUAUGCUUUGGCAUAAAAUAACUGCUCGACAAA